GCAGGUCACAAUCUUUGAAUUCUGUGAGCUAGAGUCCAUGAAGCCUGAAGGAGGAUAGCUCCCAUGUGUCUGCUCUGGAAAGAUGCAAAGCAGCAGCAGCAGGACAUCCAGAGCAGAUUGACCAUGAACUUUCCCAGGAGAACAUCCUCCAGCCAGGCCAGCCGGGUGCAUGGGUCCUGCCCUCUCAGCAGCAGAAAAGUCUACUACUCUUCCUGAAGGGGCAGCCCCAGGACCCAGGGGUGGUUCGGAUUCUCACUGGGCUGCUGACCCUGUUCCUGGGGCUUGCAAUGGCUUCUUUUACUCAUCCUUCUAUUGAAAACCACAUGGUUCUUGAGACUGAAAUAGGCUACCACCUAUGGGACCUUUCUCUUUCUUCAUAUCUGGGGCUCUGUCCAUUGCUGCUGGAAGGAAGAUGACCAAGGGCUUGGCCUGGCCAUCCUGUCUGUGCUGGAAGCCUCCAUUGCUUCUCUCUCUCCAUGUGUAGGUGCAGGUGACCUGCUCUGUCAACAGG
Molecule: long non-coding RNA, 511 nt
Organism: Sciurus carolinensis (gray squirrel)
Lineage: Eukaryota; Metazoa; Chordata; Mammalia; Rodentia; Sciuridae
Exons: 5
Source: RefSeq, a predicted model, not a curated record